AGCAGCCGCGGUAAUUCCAGCUCCAAUAGCGUAUAUUAAAGUUGUUGCAGUUAAAAAGCUCGUAGUUGAACUUCGGGAUUUGCCCAUUGGUCAGGCUUAACUGUCUGCACUGGUGUGACGAGUUCCUACCUUCUGAGGAAUCUCCAUGUCAUUCAGUUGGUGUGGGGGAAAUCAGGACUGUUACUUUGAAAAAUUGAGUGUUUAAAGCAGGCGUCCGUCUGAAUACAUUAGCAUGGAAUAAUAAAAUAGGACGGUUUGGUUCUAUUUUGUUGGUUUCUAGGAUCACCGUAAUGAUUAAUAGGGAUAGUUGGGGGCAUUAGUAUUCAAUCGUCAGAGUGAAAUUCUUGGAUUUAUUGAAGACUAACUACUGCGAAAGCAUUUGCCUAAGGAUGUUUUCAUUAAUCAAGAACGAAAGUUAGGGGAUCGAAGACGAUCAGAUACCGUCGUAGU
RNAcentral lists this ribosomal RNA (450 nucleotides) under uncultured Diversispora. Its description in RNAcentral is "SSU rRNA". It matches the Rfam family "Eukaryotic small subunit ribosomal RNA", at positions 569 to 1024 of the family's 1831-position model. Lineage: Eukaryota; Fungi; Glomeromycota; Glomeromycetes; Diversisporales; Diversisporaceae. The record is from RNAcentral.